RNAcentral lists this non-coding RNA (24 nucleotides) under Arabidopsis thaliana (thale cress). Lineage: Eukaryota; Viridiplantae; Streptophyta; Magnoliopsida; Brassicales; Brassicaceae. The record is from RNAcentral.
GUUAAGAAGUGUUAACGGUGAGUC